RNAcentral lists this transfer RNA (72 nucleotides) under Camelus bactrianus (Bactrian camel). It matches the Rfam family "tRNA". Rfam says of the family: Transfer RNA (tRNA) molecules are approximately 80 nucleotides in length. Their secondary structure includes four short double-helical elements and three loops (D, anti-codon, and T loops). Further hydrogen bonds mediate the characteristic L-shaped molecular structure. tRNAs have two regions of fundamental functional importance: the anti-codon, which is responsible for specific mRNA codon recognition, and the 3' end, to which the tRNAs corresponding amino acid is attached (by aminoacyl-tRNA synthetases). tRNAs cope with the degeneracy of the genetic code in two manners: having more than one tRNA (with a specific anti-codon) for a particular amino acid; and 'wobble' base-pairing, i.e. permitting non-standard base-pairing at the 3rd anti-codon position. The record is from Rfam by way of RNAcentral. Lineage: Eukaryota; Metazoa; Chordata; Mammalia; Artiodactyla; Camelidae. RNAcentral also lists the same sequence under 3 other names.
AGGGUAAUAGCUCAGUGGUAGAACACAUGCUUAGCAUGCAUGAGGUCCUGGGUUCAAUCCCCAGUACCUCCA